UCUAUUGGUCAGUUGGCAAGAUGUCGGCAUAGCUGAUAAUUUUUUUUUAAGAAAUUUUAAAAUACCGCUAUGCUGCAUCUAGUCAAUUAUUUCA
Molecule: microRNA precursor, 94 nt
Filed under: Glossina brevipalpis
Lineage: Eukaryota; Metazoa; Arthropoda; Insecta; Diptera; Glossinidae
Description: microRNA mir-31
Rfam family: mir-31 microRNA precursor family
Source: RNAcentral